Molecule: long non-coding RNA, 458 nt
Filed under: Equus asinus (donkey)
Lineage: Eukaryota; Metazoa; Chordata; Mammalia; Perissodactyla; Equidae
Description: lncRNA (ENSEASG00005023831.1)
Source: RNAcentral
CCCUAUCUGAAACGCUUUUUCCAAGUCUGUCAUCCAAGCUUUAUGUUCACCUCCAAGAAAGUUCUUGACUGUUCACUUCAGGCAUUUUUGUAAGCACCUCCUCUCCACUAGCCCCGAGGUCUCACAAAUGACCAGAGACCGUCCUGGACCUCCAAGAUCUUAAAGUUGACAGACGAGACAGACACCAUUGAAGAGAACAUAGCGAGCAUUUAUUGCAUCCUUGCUUCAUGCCAGGAACUGUUCUAAUAAACGUCUUCACAGCUGUCUGUCAUAGAUGAGAAGCUGGGGCGCUGCAUGGACAAAAGAGUCUAUCUACCUAAGGUAACACGACAGGGAUUCACCCCGUCAGCCCCUCUAGUUCUCAGGCCUUCGGACUCACAGCAAAUCACAUGACCGGCUUUCCUCGGUCUUCACAGCUUGCAGACAGCAAAUGGUGCUGAGCGAGGCCACUGGGCUAC